Molecule: long non-coding RNA, 1362 nt
Organism: Topomyia yanbarensis
Lineage: Eukaryota; Metazoa; Arthropoda; Insecta; Diptera; Culicidae
Exons: 2
Source: RefSeq, a predicted model, not a curated record
CAACAGCAAGCGGAAACACUAGCAAACAUUCCUCCUAGAUCAGUGCACCGAUUUACCAACGUUAGAUUUCCUGUACUUCCGAUACCGACAUCCGUGAAAAAGAGCUGCCAUGCAUCCUUUUCACAUGAUAAGUAGCACACAUGAUCAGCAUUAUUCGCCCAACGUCGACCCCAUUCGAGAGACCGUUUCCAACGGAGUUUGUUUGGUGAAAUCCAAAUACGACGUAGCAAAGCAUAUGUCAAGCGAUGUGUAUAACCUAAGCGCCAUUAAAUCUAUGCUCGACACCCUGCAACAGAUCCAUUAUGAUCCAGCAAUCCCACACAGCGAUCUUAUACAGAUGAGUUUAAUGGCCAAAGAUUCGUGUCUGCGAGAUCAUUCAUAAAACUAAAAGAUUGUGGAUUUGUGGAGCAAAUUCUUGACAACGCUCUGCGAGAGGAACAUUUUAUUACUAUCGGGACAGCGCAGUGUCCGCGAUUACACUCACCAAGGUUGCAAGACAAUAUCUCCAACUAUCCCGCCAGUGGUUCGAUGCUCUCGAACACAUUUUGUGGAACGCAAAAAAUGAUCAGUCUUCGAGAGCAGAUAAAAAGUAGACCAUAGACCAUAGACUUCUCCCAGAGCAGAACGGCGAAACACUCUUUGCUUUUACAUAAACCUGAUUGGAUCGAUCACUUUGUUUUGCUCUAUACGAUCACGAAAAAUUGCUUGCUCAUUAUUAUGAACCAAACGAAAGAGGUACACCUGAAACCGAAAGCUUACAAAGUAAUAGCAUUGCAGUGCAGUCAUACUAGCGCACUGAUUCGUUUCUGGAGGACUAAGAUUUUUGGGAGCUCAUUUAAUGCACAGCUGCAGUUACCCGUGGGAAUACCUAAUAAAUUCAACAAAUUCAAUACAUCAUACAUCUUCGUCGGCAGACAUUGUACUAAGAGACAUUCUUCUUCUUCAGUUCUGUUUGGCUUGUUUGUGAAUCAAAGCCGAAAAAUGGCACUUAAUUUUCAUUUAUAGUCAGACUUUACUUUUUCCGACUAACCGUCACAAUAUUGGCCACCACAGCACGAAUAAUUCUUCCAAUAAUGGAGAAAAAAUGAAUUUUCUUCGCACACGGAGAAAACCAACCUGUCGACACGUUAAACAUCUCACCGGAAGUAUACUAAGGGAUAUGACCGUCACUAAAGAUUGUUUGAACUGGUUGCUUGCAUCGAAGACGGAAGCUGUUCGUCGAAGCCACCGACUGAACUGAACACCUUUGGAACGGUGCACUCGGUGAAUUGAACACGAUAGUGCUAGCUGUAUGUCUACACCAGCAAACAAAAAUAUUUAGGUCAAGACAUCGUGUAAUGAAAAAUAUAUCUUUUUAUUUUA